AUUGAACGCUGGCGGCAUGCCUUACACAUGCAAGUCGAACGGCAGCACGGGUGCUUGCACCUGGUGGCGAGUGGCGAACGGGUGAGUAAUACAUCGUAACGUACCUUAUCGUGGGGGAUAACGCAGCGAAAGCUGUGCUAAUACCGCAUACGCCCUGAGGGGGAAAGCGGGGGAUCGCAAGACCUCGCGCGAUUAGAGCGGCCGAUGCCGAAUUGGCUCGUUUGUGGGGUAAAAGCCCACCAAGGCUACGAUAAGUAGCUGGUCUGAGAGGACGAUCAGCCACACUGGGACUGAGACACGGCCUAGACUCCUACGGGAGGCAGCAGUGGGGAAUUUUGGACAAUGGGGGCAACCCUGAUCCAGCAAUGCCGCGUGGGUGAAGAAGGCCUUCGGGUUGUAAAGCUCUUUUGUCAGGGAAGAAACACCGGCUCUAACACAGUCCGGGAAUGACGGUACCUGAAGAAUAAGCACCGGCUAACUACGUGCCAGCCGCCGCCGUAA
This 501-nucleotide ribosomal RNA is filed under the name uncultured bacterium. RNAcentral's name for it is "partial 16S ribosomal RNA". It matches the Rfam family "Bacterial small subunit ribosomal RNA", at positions 30 to 523 of the family's 1533-position model. The record is from RNAcentral.